AACGAGCGCAACCCUUGUCAUUAGUUGCUACAUUCAGUUGGGCACGUCUAAUGAGACUGCCGGUGACAAACCGGAGGAAGGUGGGGAUGACGUCAAGUCCUCAUGGCCCUUAUGGGUAGGGCUUCACACGUCAUACAAUGGUCGGUACAGAGGGUUGCCAACCCGCAGGGGGAGCUAAUCCCACAAAGCCGAUCGUAGUCCGGAUCGCAGUCUGCAACUCGACUGCGUGAAGUCGGAAUCGCUAGUAAUCGUGGAUCAGCAUGUCACGGUGAAUACGUUCCCGGGUCUU
RNAcentral lists this ribosomal RNA (289 nucleotides) under uncultured Rhodocyclaceae bacterium. RNAcentral's name for it is "partial 16S ribosomal RNA". It matches the Rfam family "Bacterial small subunit ribosomal RNA", at positions 1091 to 1382 of the family's 1533-position model. Lineage: Bacteria; Pseudomonadati; Pseudomonadota; Betaproteobacteria; Rhodocyclales; Rhodocyclaceae. The record is from RNAcentral.